RNAcentral lists this unclassified non-coding RNA (25 nucleotides) under Arabidopsis thaliana (thale cress). Lineage: Eukaryota; Viridiplantae; Streptophyta; Magnoliopsida; Brassicales; Brassicaceae. The record is from RNAcentral.
CCCGCAGCGAUACUGACGUGCAAAG